GCUCUCAGGCUGAAAGUAAUCUCACUCAGAGUACAGAUUGAUUAGCUCAGCAUUAACAUGAGGCUGUCUCUGGGCUGUGUGGUGGACAUCUUGGUAUUACUUUUGCAUUGGUCUGCUUACCUGUCGACUACUUCAAGAAGUGCUUCAACACAAGAUUAUGCCUAGUACAGUACUGGUGGUUUUCAGAGUCUAGAAAGUGAUGACAUCGUACUCCCAGAUGGGGGGAAAGAGACAGUUUUUUCUUUUGAUUACAUUGUACUUUGUGAUGAAAUAUCAAACUAAUAAAUUUGCAAAUAUUGAA
Molecule: long non-coding RNA, 301 nt
Organism: Boleophthalmus pectinirostris (great blue-spotted mudskipper)
Lineage: Eukaryota; Metazoa; Chordata; Actinopteri; Gobiiformes; Gobiidae
Exons: 2
Source: RefSeq, a predicted model, not a curated record